AUGAAGUCGACAGGCUUUACUCAUCAGGUCAACUGGGAUCACACACACCGGAGGCGCUCCUGCACACUGUAUGGUUUAACAAUACCAUAUACUUUGUAUGAGAGGAGUGCAAGAGCACCAUGAUAUGAAGUGGGGCGAUUUGAAACUGAAGCAGGACGGUAAUGGCGACGAUUAUGUCGCCUUCUGUGAGCGAUCUACAAAAACAAGAGGUGGAGCAGAUCCAAAUAAUAUCAGACAAGUUGAGCCAAAGAUGUGGGCUACCAAGGAGAACCAAGAACGUUGUCCUGUAAGGA
Haliotis rufescens (red abalone) is the source of this 293-nucleotide long non-coding RNA. RefSeq lists it as uncharacterized. Lineage: Eukaryota; Metazoa; Mollusca; Gastropoda; Lepetellida; Haliotidae. The transcript has 3 exons. The record is from RefSeq and is a predicted model, not a curated record.